Molecule: ribosomal RNA, 484 nt
Filed under: uncultured bacterium
Lineage: Bacteria
Description: partial 16S ribosomal RNA
Rfam family: Bacterial small subunit ribosomal RNA
Source: RNAcentral
AUUGAACGCUGGCGGCAUGCCUUACACAUGCAAGUCGAACGGCAACGCGGGCUUCGUGCUGGCCGCGCGUGGCGAACGGGCGAGUAAUUCACCGGAACGUGCCCAGCCUUUAGGACUAGCACGACUAAAGGCGAACUAAUCUCGCACACGACCUUAUGUUGAAAGCGGGGGUUCUUUGGACCACGCCCUUUUUGAUGUCACUUUGACAGAUUAGCUAGUUGGUUGGGUAACGGCCUACCAAGGCGACGAUCUGUAGCAGAUCUGAGAGGCCGACCUGCCACACUGGAACUGAGACACGGCCCAGACUCCUACGGGAGGCAGCAGUGGGGAAUCUUGGACAAUGGGCGAAAGCCUGAUGGAGCAAUGCCGCGUGUGUGAUGAAGGCCUUCGGGUUGUAAAACACUGUUAGCGGGGAAGAAAAGGACUGUAAGAAAACCACGGUUCGAUGACGGUACCCGCAGAAUAAGCACCGGCUAACUACGUG